RNAcentral lists this non-coding RNA (21 nucleotides) under Caenorhabditis elegans. Lineage: Eukaryota; Metazoa; Nematoda; Chromadorea; Rhabditida; Rhabditidae. The record is from RNAcentral.
UAAGUGGUUCACGAAUUUUUU